GUCUCUGUAACUCAGUUGGUUAGAGCCCUGCACCGGAAUCGCAGGGCCGCGGGUUCAUUUCCUGCCAGGGACC
Non-coding RNA from Paramuricea clavata, 73 nucleotides. The record is from the annotation of a GenBank genome assembly. NCBI's taxonomy places the organism in Eukaryota, Metazoa, Cnidaria, Anthozoa, Malacalcyonacea, Plexauridae.